CCUUAGUGUGGCUGCAUGGCAGCGUGCGGGGAUCCACCACAUAUACAGCUUCUACGAAGGAGACAAAAGAUUAUCCUUCCAACAGCUAGCGACAAAAUAUGAUUUACCUCAGACCAUGCAAUACGCAUACCUCCAAAUCGCACACUUUCUAGACUCUCAGAGGGAACAUAGACGACAAGAUGACCUGGGCAAAACCACGUCCCAAUUUGAAAAGACGUGCGUAGGGAUCACACCACUGCGGGGACAACUAUCCACAUGCUAUCGGGCACUAAAUCAGAG
Non-coding RNA from Pelobates cultripes (western spadefoot toad), 279 nucleotides. The record is from the annotation of a GenBank genome assembly. NCBI's taxonomy places the organism in Eukaryota, Metazoa, Chordata, Amphibia, Anura, Pelobatidae.